CAUCGUGUGGGUUUUCCGUCAAGGCUAACUCGAAGCUUCUCCAACUUCACCAUUUCCACUUUCAGCUCAGCCCUCUGCUGGCAUUCUUGCUGCCAACACCCACCGUCGUCGUUUGUCGUCUGGCUCCACCAAUAAGGGUUCAGCACACUCACAUGACCGAUACUGCGGCUGCAGAUCAUUCCAAAUGAGGGUGCACAAGUAAAUGAUGUGAAGACCAUUCAAAGGCUUGGAAUUCAACCAAAUGAGGUUGCCAAACUAGUUAGUCAAGCUUUUGCUAAGAUGAUGUUCAAACAUGGGUUUGUGCAUUGUGACCCCCUUGCUGCCAACCUGCUAGUUCGUCCUUCGCCUUCUAGCAAAAGGAGCAUUCUAGGUAAGAGAAAACCACAGUUGAUACUUCUAGAUCAUGGAUUGGUGCUAGUCUUGACGAGAUUAUUAUCCCAACCCAAUGCAGUACUCUAACACAACCAACGCCACCGGGCAAUAAUGAGGAAAUGUUGUGCAUGCCCCAUGGGACUUAGUGCAAAUUAGUUGUCGAGUUUUUUGAGCAACAAUUGGUUUAGAUGAAUUAGUGUAACAAAUGGGUAAAUGUGUAUUUGUAUUUGCAAAUAGUUCAAUGGGGUAUGGAAAUUUUUGUUGUUAUGACUUACUAGAGGCCCAGAGGGAGUAUGGAAACCAUUCUAAAAGAAUAGGUAUGGAAAUUAUUUUGUUGUGACUUACUAGAGCCGGUAUGGAAAUGAUUGUAAAUGAAAUGAUUGUAUAUUUUGUACACAGUCAGUGUGAAAAUGAUUGUAAAUAUGGUUUAGUUGAUGUUUUUUUUUUUUCUUUUCCA
Carya illinoinensis is the source of this 829-nucleotide long non-coding RNA. RefSeq lists it as uncharacterized. The transcript is spliced from 5 exons. The record is from RefSeq and is a predicted model, not a curated record. NCBI's taxonomy places the organism in Eukaryota, Viridiplantae, Streptophyta, Magnoliopsida, Fagales, Juglandaceae.